This 300-nucleotide ribosomal RNA is filed under the name uncultured Sulfophobococcus sp. Its description in RNAcentral is "bacterial SSU rRNA". The stretch from base 57 to 300 matches the Rfam family "Bacterial small subunit ribosomal RNA", at positions 552 to 795 of the family's 1533-position model. Lineage: Archaea; Thermoproteati; Thermoproteota; Thermoprotei; Desulfurococcales; Desulfurococcaceae. The record is from RNAcentral.
CGGAAGUGGGGGCCGGCAGGCGGGGGAAGUCGUAGGUGGUAAGGGGUGGACGGAGGUAUGGGGCGGACAGCGCGCGGUGGCGGGGUGGUAAGUACGAGGUUAAAGUGCCCGGCUCGACUGGGAGGGGGCUUCGGAUACUGGCGGACUCGAGGAGUACAGAGGUGAGUUGAAUGCUGGGUGUAGUGGUGAAAUGCUGAGAUAUCCAGAGGAACACCAGCGGCGAAGGCGGCUCACUGGGUACCACCUGACGCUGAGGCGCGAAAGCGUGGGGAGCGAACCGGAUUAGAUACCCGAGUAGUC